This 1402-nucleotide long non-coding RNA is filed under the name Rattus norvegicus (Norway rat). RNAcentral describes it as "long non-coding RNA NONRATT028810". The record is from RNAcentral. Lineage: Eukaryota; Metazoa; Chordata; Mammalia; Rodentia; Muridae.
GAGACAGGGUCUCACUAUCUAGCCCAGGCUGUCCUCAAACACUAUGUAGCUAAGGAUAGGUUCACACCCAUGAUCUUCCUGCCCCAGUCACCCAAGGUUUAGAAUUACAAGCAUGAAUCACAGUGCUGACUACACCUUUCCUCUUGAUCACUGGUUUUGCAUAUUUGAUUUUGGUUUUCGUGGCAUCGUCUGCAUUUUGUCAAGUGUUCAUAAAGUGUUGAGCUGGAUGAAGGGACUGGAUAGAGUGUAUCCACAGGAUGUUCAUGCCCAGAAUGUACAUACACUACCAAUUCAUUGAGUCUUAAAACAACCACUAAGAAAUCAUGAUGUGGAUAUCUAUUUAAGCAUUAACAGCAACAUAGGCACCUGUAACUUGGAGCUUGUAAAAGUCAGAGGCAAAUGGAGAGUAAAUGGUUUAUUGGCAUGGAAUCGUUUUAUCCACUGCCAUUGUUGAACUUUUCUGGAAAUACAGAAAAAAAACAAACAUGGCAGAAGUUGUAUAUGUUCAUGUAUUGUUUCAGCCACGCAUCUAAAAAUAGCAGAAAUAUAAAAUAAAACUUAAAACUCAAGAGUUGAUACCUGAGGCUCGUGUCAUCUUAUCUCCUCUGCUAAAGCAAUACUAGAAAGACCAAUUAGAGGGCAAAGAGGAGAAAGAAUAAAAAUAACUGUAAGAAACUUAUAAAAAUUAGAAGUUUAUGAGCAGUAGUAUUUGCUUCUUAAGUUUUCAUAGUUAUUUCAUAACUAUAUAAUAGUCGUGUGUUCUUUAUGGAAAAUGUAAUGGUUUCACAAAUUUUGGACUGGUGUGUUUAUGGACAUCACGGUGGGAAACAGGCAUUUUCUGUGUUUUUGUUUGUUUGUGGCUCAUGUAAUUUGGGGGUAUUUCACCUUAUCACCCAACAGAUUUUGUCACUUUACCAGUGAAAAUUUGAAAUUCUAAUCUAAUUUUUAAACAAGAGAAUGUAAGGCAUUCAGAUAUCCAAAAUAGUAAAUGUGUAAUGUGGUCAGUCAGUCUUAGAAUCCUUCAAGUUUUCAGACUUUUCAAAAGCAAGAAUAUAUUUUGGGAAGCUUUAGGAAAUACAUCCUAUUUUCCUAUCAUUUUUAAUUUGCCUCCCUUAAGCCCUAUGAAGUACAUAAGUUUAUUAUUUUCACCGAAGCCACCACAUGGUUUUGUGUGCUUGUCUUUUAUAUGAGUGUAAUGCCCUCUUUUCAGCUCUUCAUGAAUGAUUGAGUUACAAUUAAGACAUUCUCUGUUGCUUUUAAAAUCAAAUACAUUUAUGGACAUCUCACCAGAGUGUGAAAAAUGACAAUGAAAUAUGAAAGGAUUGUGUGAUAUUCUUUUUACAUCUGAAGACAACAUUCAUACAAUUAAAACAUUAAAAUAAAUUUCCUCUUUUAACACUUU